ACAACAAAGAGAGGGUAUUUCGAAUCCUAUCUCGUCUCCAUCAAUAAAGUCUCGAUCUUGCAAAAACCCCAACAACAAUCAGUGAGGAAGAAAUUCGAGGGAUUAUCGGAUUUAAGAUACUGAGCAGAAUUCACAGGCAAAUGGGUCACUAAAAUUUUCUGCUUCUCGUGGAUCAGAGCAACACCAUGGAAGUAGUUGGAGUUAUAAGAAGCAGAGUGAUAUUUGCGGAGCAGCAGUUGUGUCUUCAAGACAGGAACUUCCUUUGUUGUCUGUGUUUGAUUCGUUGUCUUGUCCAAACCCAAUUCUCCACCCUUUUUAAAGAUCUAGAAGAAGGCCGAUGUUGGAAACUCCGAUAUGCUGCAAAUUCAGAGAUCGAGCAUCAAAUGCUGGAGUUGGCCCGGGCAGCUUUUGUUGGUGAUGGAUGGGGAGGAAAAUGGAUCUCAGAGUAGUUCUCUUAGUCAUCAAUAACUCAAGAUAGCUCAUCAGAGAACUCAAAACCUCAAGGCCGGAUCCCUUACCCGCUCGCUAUCUAUAGCUCUCAUACUACUAAGCUGUGGUUUGGAUUGUGGUCUCAUAGAUGUGGUUUUUUGUUGCUAUACCUUUUUUAUCGCUGCUUCCUUGGCCAUGAAAUGCGAGAAAACACGGUUCAAUGGGAGCUUUAUCUCUGACGACUAUAUCUUGUCAGUUGUUACCGGGAAGAUUUUUCGACCUGUACCUUCUCAGGUUCUAAACAAGUUUCGAUUAGGCUCUCAACCCCGCUCGAGAAACCUGUACGAGGAGGAAUAAUGACUGUUGUUCCUGCCAACUACAGCGAAAAUUCACCUCUUUUUUCUUGCAGGUUGGCUACUUGAGAGGAGCUCUGUUCCUGGUUUUCGCGGCGGCCACAUUCUUCGGAUUCUUCCACGUUACCUGAGACGAUAACCGGAAGAUUCCGGCUAAGAAGCUCCGGCGAAAAAUGACUGAACUCCAGAGAUUCACAAGCCUCGGAAUUGUUGGAUCUCUUUAGUUCUCCGUCCGUACAAAACAUGGGCAACGAACAAAACCGCCCAUUGUGGUUUUCGUUUCAGAUUUCAGUGGAUUGAAAUUUCAGAUUCUGUUGUAUCAGAGAAUAUAGAAAGAAAUGAUUUUUAUUAUGGUAAUGUUUUUUUUAAAGCUUUAGCCUUUUAAAGCUUUGAAGCGUAUAAACGGUUAUGUUCUCAAUUCA
Long non-coding RNA from Tarenaya hassleriana, 1204 nucleotides. RefSeq lists it as uncharacterized. The record is from RefSeq and is a predicted model, not a curated record. NCBI's taxonomy places the organism in Eukaryota, Viridiplantae, Streptophyta, Magnoliopsida, Brassicales, Cleomaceae. The transcript has 6 exons.